Molecule: transfer-messenger RNA, 363 nt
Filed under: Salmonella enterica
Lineage: Bacteria; Pseudomonadati; Pseudomonadota; Gammaproteobacteria; Enterobacterales; Enterobacteriaceae
Also listed under: 5 other names
Rfam family: transfer-messenger RNA
About the family: Bacterial tmRNA, also known as 10Sa RNA or SsrA, is named for its dual tRNA and mRNA-like properties. Its role is to liberate the mRNA from a stalled ribosome. To accomplish this part of the tmRNA is used as a reading frame that ends in a translation stop signal.
Source: RNAcentral
GGGGCUGAUUCUGGAUUCGACGGGAUUUGCGAAACCCAAGGUGCAUGCCGAGGGGCGGUUGGCCUCGUAAAAAGCCGCAAAAAAAUAGUCGCAAACGACGAAAACUACGCUUUAGCAGCUUAAUAACCUGCUUAGAGCCCUCUCUCCCUAGCCUCCGCUCUUAGGACGGGGAUCAAGAGAGGUCAAACCCAAAAGAGAUCGCGUGGAUGCCCUGCCUGGGGUUGAAGCGUUAAAACUAAUCAGGCUAGUCUGGUAGUGGCGUGUCCGUCCGCAGGUGCCAAGCGAAUGUAAAGACUGACUAAGCAUGUAGUACCGAGGAUGUAGGAAUUUCGGACGCGGGUUCAACUCCCGCCAGCUCCACCA